Molecule: unclassified non-coding RNA, 251 nt
Filed under: uncultured Pezizales
Lineage: Eukaryota; Fungi; Ascomycota; Pezizomycetes; Pezizales
Description: sequence contains ITS2
Rfam family: 5.8S ribosomal RNA (bases 1-52)
Source: RNAcentral
AACGCACAUUGCGCCUCCUGGUAUUCCGGGAGGCAUGCCUGUUCGAGCGUCAUUAAAAUCAACUCAAGCUCUUUUGCUUGGUCAUGGAAGAAGAGUCUGCAUCGCGGUCUCCCCUCCGAAAUCCAAUGGCGGAAGGUCACUGGUACCCGGCGUAGUAUUAACGUUCGCUGUGUAUCCAGAGCCAUUCCCGCCCAACAACCCCCUUUCUCGUGAUUGACCUCGGAUCAGGUAGGGAUACCCGCUGAACUUAA